RNAcentral lists this long non-coding RNA (957 nucleotides) under Capra hircus (goat). RNAcentral's name for it is "lncRNA (ENSCHIG00000001180.1)". The record is from RNAcentral. Lineage: Eukaryota; Metazoa; Chordata; Mammalia; Artiodactyla; Bovidae.
CUAGGCAGUAACUGCCUGGGCGCUACUCAGUGCUCCAGAAAUAAGGCUGGAGGCAACAAGGUUGAGGAACCUGCACUGCAGACGUCAGGGAGAAGGUGACUUUCAGAGAAAUGGCGAUGUGAACUUGUUCUUAAUGACAACCUGAAACAUCUGAUAACAUCGGCUCACGUCUGCUCAAGGUCCAAAACACAGGAAGUAAGUGGACCCAGAGGCCAGGAGGAAGGACGAGCGAAAAUCCCAUCUCUACGGAUGUUUUUCUAAACACAACCGAGCCCUGAAGUCAUGCCUUUUCAUCUGUCAUCCGUGACCCAUCCCACUUUAGGAGGGACAGCGGAGGUCCAAAAACAUGACAGUGUCUCAUAGACAUCUCUACAGGUCAACAGGCCACCACCACUACCACCAAAAUGGCCAUGGAACUGCAAAUCCACUUAAACCUGGAAUGUGCAAGAACAAGGCAGAGGAUCAGCUGAUAACCGCUAAGCCCACUGUGCUAUCCCUGUUGACGGUCAGGAGCGACCUGAGAGAGAGGGACAUUUGGAGGUUUCCAACUAUUUUUGACUGAUCCAACAGUACUGCAGAGCAAGAAAGCCUAGGCUUGAAGCAUCUUGUCCGCCAUGCAUUUCUGGAGGUCAGUAUCAUAAAGAACCUGGAUAUUUCCUGCAACUACAGAUUUUCAGUUUGAAAGGCAAAGAAAAAAAAAAACCACAAAACAAAACUGGAAUUAGAGAGGAUGGACUGUUGCUUUUCCUGACUUUCAUCUGGUGCUUACUACAUCCCCUGAGCUUUUUCUCUAGGUUUCCGCUCUUCUAUCAUGAUGAUGAAGCAAAUUUAAAACCUAUAUAAAUACUUGCCUCUAGCCACAUAAAUUCAUGAAACUGUCUAUAUGGAAAAAUGCUUAAUACAGGCAAGCAAUAUUAUCACAAUCAUCAAGAAUAAAACCCUUUAGGCUCAUUUUUG